Molecule: ribosomal RNA, 1431 nt
Filed under: uncultured Bordetella sp.
Lineage: Bacteria; Pseudomonadati; Pseudomonadota; Betaproteobacteria; Burkholderiales; Alcaligenaceae
Description: partial 16S-23S ribosomal RNA intergenic spacer
Rfam family: Bacterial small subunit ribosomal RNA
Source: RNAcentral
AGUCGAACGGCAGCACGGACUUCGGUCUGGUGGCGAGUGGCGAACGGGUGAGUAAUGUAUCGGAACGUGCCUAGUAGCGAGAGAUAACUACUGCGCGAAAGCGUAGCUAAUACCGCAUACGCCCUUCGGGGAAAGCGGGGGACCUUCGGGCCUCGCACUAUUAGAGCGGCCGAUAUCGGAUUAGCUAGUUGGUGGGGUAACGGCUCACCAAGGCGACGAUCCGUAGCUGGUUAUGAGAGGACGACCAGCCACACUGGGACUGAGACACGGCCCAAAAGACUCCUACGGGAGGCAGCAGUGGGGAAUUUUGGACAAUGGAAACCCUGAUCAGCCAUCCCGCGUGUGUGAUGAGGCUUCGGGUUGUAAAAGCACUUUUGGCAGGAAAGAAACAGCACGGAUAAUACCCCGUGCAACUGACGACACCUGCAGAAUAAGCACCGGCUAACUACGUGCCAGCAGCCGCGGUAAUACGUAAGUGCAAGCGUUAAUCGGAAUUACUGGGCGUAAAGCGUGCGCAGGCGGUUCGGAAAGAAAGAUGUGAAAUCCCAGAGCUUAACUUUGGAACUGCAUUUUUAACUACCGAGCUAGAGUGUGUCAGAGGGAGGUGGAAUUCCGCGUGUAGCAGUGAAAUGCGUAGAUAUGCGGAGGAACACCGAUGGCGAAGGCAGCCUCCUGGGAUAACGACGCUCAUGCACGAAAAGCAUUACAGGGAGCAAACAGGAUUAGAUACCCUGGUAGUCCACGCCCUAAACGAUGUCAACUAGCUGUUGUUCGGGCCUUGGUGGCGCAGCUAACGCGUGAAGUUGACCGCCUGGGAGUACGAUCACAAGAUUAAAACUCAAAGGAAUUGACGGGGACCCGCACAAGCGGUGGAUGAUGUGGAUUAAUUCGAUGCAACGCGAAAAACCUUACCUACCCUUGACAUGUCUGGAAUCCCGAAGAGAUUUGGGAGUGCUCGCAAAGAGAACCGGAACACAGGUGCUGCAUAGCUGUCGUCAGCUCGUGUCGUGAGAUGUUGGGUUAAGUCCCGCAACGAGCGCAACCCUUGUCAUUAGUUGCUACGAAAGGGCACUCCUAAUGAGACUGCCGGUGACAAACCGGAGGAAGGUGGGGAUGACGUCAAGUCCUCAUGGCCCUUAUGGGUGGGGCUUCACACGUCAUACAAUGGUCGGGACAGAGGGUCGCCAACCCCGCGAGGAGCCAAUCAGGAAACCCGAUCGUAGUCCGGAUCGCAGUCUGCAAAUGACUGCGUGAAGUCGGAAUCGCUAGUAAUCGCGGAUCAGCAUGUCGCGGUGAAUACGUUCCCGGGUCUUGUACACACCGCCCGUCACACCAUGGGAGUGGGUUUUACCAGAAGUAGUUAGCCUAACCGCAAGGGGGGCGGUGCCACAUUAGGAUUCAUGACUGGGGUGGGGAAUCGUAACAAGGUAG